Molecule: transfer RNA, 74 nt
Filed under: Camelus bactrianus (Bactrian camel)
Lineage: Eukaryota; Metazoa; Chordata; Mammalia; Artiodactyla; Camelidae
Also listed under: 1 other name
Rfam family: tRNA
About the family: Transfer RNA (tRNA) molecules are approximately 80 nucleotides in length.
Source: Rfam by way of RNAcentral
GGGGGUACAGCUCAGUGGUAUAGUGUGUGUGCUUAGCAUGCAUCAGGUCUUGGGUUCAAUCCCCAGUGCCUCCA